AAAACUCAAUCAAUGUGUCUGUGGUCACGUCAAAUCUCACUGCAGAAACACUAAUUUGCACAAAUAAGUUGAGGGGGAGUGUGUGUGUGUGUGUGUAAUGGCGAGUCGACGGGUGUCUUGAGCAAACACAGGGGAGGCGUCUGUGGUUGCGGGGGAGUUUGUGGGAUGUUAUUGGUCGAGCCUUCGUAACUGAAGAAUUGUCGGGUAAUUAGAUCAUCCUGCGCAGAAUAGGAAUCAAUUUCCGACCGGGCAGCGCCGUGGCUUUUCCUAAUGUGAGCCACAUUGGGACCCAUGAUCCAUGGCAAUAAUUCAAACCAGAUGUGAUGUCCCACUCAGGUGGGCCAAGAGCUUCCAUCUGCGGGGCCGAGAUGCUGUGUGGCCACCGUGACCGUGAGAGUUUCUGGGGGUGAAGCUGUGUGCGGUUUUCUGGUCCCUGGUUGGAGGUGUGGACAACUGGUUCUGUAGAAUUUUGUGGAUCUAAACUGGGAAUAAUAUUAUGGAAAAAAUGGACAUCCUGUAGGCUUUUCCAUUUCUUUCAUCGCAUGCACUGACUAAGAUUUCCCCGUCAACAGAAUUAACUAAUAUCACUUGCACAUGUGCUCAUGCAGACUUCUUAAAGUCCUACAUGUAACUGUGGCACCAAGGGUUUCGACUGGUUCUGAACACGGUUUACGUCAUUUUUUGGUGACUGGUUUUGGAUGAAGGUUUCGACAUUACAUAUAAUUCACCUUUAAUAACGAUGAAGAGUAUAAUUUCUGUACCUGCACCGAAUGGAAUUGCAAAUUUUGUCCAAACAUGUUUCCCAAACACAGCCCUGCCAUCUGUACUUGGUCAGACAAACUGGUUAUAUUAAGGGGUCUUCAAAUUUUUGUUUACCUGGACUUUCAAUGGAGGAACAGAUGAACCACACUCUAAUAUGUUUGGAGGGUGAAUGCUAACAGUGCACAUAAAGUCCUGCCAGGUUCUUUUCCAGGCAAAGCUGAACCCAAAACCCUUAAAGUGACUGCUGGAAAGAUUGAGGAAAGAGUGAAGGAAAGAAGGACGAGGAGAGAGAGGGAAGUCUGAACACAGGAGCACGUAUUCUCCAGAUGAGAGUGAAAAUGAAAACCACCUGGGCUGAAUUCCCACGUGACAUGUCCAAUGAAGAGGCCUUUAGCCCUCAAGAGUUGCAAUGCUGGACGGUGAAUUUACUUACCCUUAAAAAAAUGUGGAAAGCAUCCAGAUUGUAGAGCCUCGGAAGGCCGUUAAUGUCCGCAACACUCAUAAUUGUCUUGGCACGGUGCAUUUAGCAUUAGACAACAUGUGUUAGGCAAUUAAACUCAAUUGUUCAAUUUGCUCAACACAAACAUUGAAUGUAAAUACACCUCAUUUCAUGCCUAAAGUGUUGAGACUAGCUCUGAACCAUUUAUACUUAAUGUUUUCGCAGUGUAGGAAUAGUCAUGUUCGUGCAUUAAUGCUUGCACUCGAGCAGGUCGUGAAUAACAUACUUUUAUUUCAUCACAAGUAUGCGGAAACAGAAUUUAACACGGAUAUUUAGGCCGAUACGGCACUUUUUGAAGCCGCGGCUCAGUGGAGUGAGUCAAGCUGGUCACGACGCUGAUGAUAAUAUCAAGUUUGCUCUUGGCUUGCUUUCAUCAGGUCUUAAAUCAUACGCAUAUGUGGUACACCCAUAGACCUACAGUACGAACCCGAGCACUUACGCACAUGAGCACAGAUGCUAUAAUCAGAUACUCAGAGCAGACCUGGUUGGUAAUGUAUCGUACUGCCUAAGGAGAUCGUAAAAACGCAACAGGUUAUAUGUCGAAGUGCAGUUUCCAUCCCUAAGAGCAGUUCAGGAACUGUAUUGAAGGACAUUGGACAGAAAGGGUAUUAGUGCAUGAUUUUUCCUAAGCAUGUGGAAAGUCGGUUUUCUGUGCCUUUGGGGUUCUGGAAGCUGUCCAAUAGCGAUAGGCCUGUCUUACACAGCUGAAUCAUAAUACAUAUUCAUUUCGGUGGCCAUAUUAACAUGUUUUAGUAAUAGCAUAAACACCAAAAAAAAUGGGCUGGGCGAUAAAACGAUAACGAUAAUUAUUGCGAUAUAAUUAUCUUCGAUAAAUUGAUAAGAGUUUGAUAUAUGUUCGAUAUGUUUAUGCGGCAACAGCAGAACGAAACCGUGCUACUCAUUUCAAUCACGCCACAUGGACCGCAUAUCUAUUUGUCUGCUUAAGCGCUUGAAUUCAACGAUGAACACAAAUAAGUCGCUGAUUUAAACUGGUUUAAAACCAACAAACAGGAGAAACUCUGUGUGCAACGAUACAGUCAGAAGGCUUUUCAGUCUACAAAUUGCCAUCAUUUACCAUGGAUUUACUGUAGUAACACUAACUGCUCAAUGGUAUUGUGGCAGAAAUGUGGGAUAUACAGUAUAACGAUUUAUUAUAUUAUUAAUGUAGACAUUAAAUGUAUUAAAAGAUGUAAUGGAAUACUGCAGUAUACAGUAUUUUUCAGUUAGUGUUUGUGCAUUUAUACUAAAUGUAUUUAGACUACUGUUUUUUAUUCAAAUAC
This is a long non-coding RNA of Onychostoma macrolepis, 2541 nucleotides long. RefSeq lists it as uncharacterized. The record is from RefSeq and is a predicted model, not a curated record. The transcript has 4 exons. Lineage: Eukaryota; Metazoa; Chordata; Actinopteri; Cypriniformes; Cyprinidae.